UACCAGCACCCCGAGUGGUCGGGACGUUUAUUGGGCCUAAAGCAUCCGUAGCCGGUUCUACAAGUCUUCCGUUAAAUCCACCUGCUUAACAGAUGGGCUGCGGAAGAUACUAUAGGGCUAGGAGGCGGGAGAGGCAAGCGGUACUCGAUGGGUAGGGGUAAAAUCCGCUGAUCCAUAGAAGACCACCAGUGGCGAAGGCGGCUUGCCAGAACGCGCUCGACGGUGAGGGAUGAAAGCUGGGGGAGCAAACCGG
This 253-nucleotide ribosomal RNA is filed under the name uncultured bacterium. RNAcentral describes it as "partial 16S ribosomal RNA". It matches the Rfam family "Archaeal small subunit ribosomal RNA", at positions 474 to 727 of the family's 1478-position model. The record is from RNAcentral.